RNAcentral lists this long non-coding RNA (434 nucleotides) under Apteryx owenii (little spotted kiwi). RNAcentral describes it as "lncRNA (ENSAOWG00000002455.1)". The record is from RNAcentral. Lineage: Eukaryota; Metazoa; Chordata; Aves; Apterygiformes; Apterygidae.
UUUUUUCCUACUAUUUUGUUCUCUCUAGGACUCAGAAAAAGAAAUGAAGGAAAAUUUGGGUGGAUUUAUUCACCCAAACCAAAUUUCAUACCAGGAUUUCUGGGCUUGUGGAAUAUUUAGAGAAGUUGAGAGCAGUUUGUGCAGCUUUGGACAAGCACUAACCACUGGAAGCUCUACUGUACUGCUUCAUUUUGGCUGGAGCAAUGGGGAUUGCAGGGAUUUCAUCUUGUGAGCCUUUGGGACGGAACAAUUGAUUGAGGAUCUGAAGGACAUCUAGUUCAAGGCCACCCAGAAUUCAGUAGCUGCCUGUUGUUGGUACAGCUCUUAAGAUGUGGCUCUUAUGCUCAAGAAGGUGGGACAUCGGACAUGUGCUAUGUGUACUUCAGCUGUCUGUGUAAGCAGCUUCCUCUAAUCCACACAACAAGCCCUUAAAC